UACGGAAGGCAGCAGUGGGGAAUAUUGCACAAUGGGCGCAAGCCUGAUGCAGCCAUGCCGCGUGUAUGAAGAAGGCCUUCGGGUUGUAAAGUACUUUUCAGCGGGGAGGAAGGCGGUGGAGUUAAUAGCUUCACCGAUUGACGUUACCCGCAGAAGAAGCACCGGCUAACUCCGUGCCAGCAGCCGCGGUAAUACGGAGGGUGCAAGCGUUAAUCGGAAUUACUGGGCGUAAAAGCACACGCAGGCGGUCUGUCAAGUCGGAUGUGAAAUCCCCGGGCUUAACCUGGGAACUGCAUUCGAAACUGGCAGGCUAGAGUCUUGUAGAGGGGGUAGAAUUCCAGGUGUAGCGGUGAAAUGCGUAGAGAUCUGGAGGAAUACCGGUGGCGAAGGCGGCCCCUGGACAAAGCUGACGCUCAGGUGCGAAAGCGUGGGGAGCAAACGAGGAUUAGGAUACC
This 455-nucleotide ribosomal RNA is filed under the name uncultured bacterium. Its description in RNAcentral is "bacterial SSU rRNA". It matches the Rfam family "Bacterial small subunit ribosomal RNA", at positions 340 to 786 of the family's 1533-position model. The record is from RNAcentral.